This is a long non-coding RNA of Drosophila mauritiana, 669 nucleotides long. RefSeq lists it as uncharacterized. Lineage: Eukaryota; Metazoa; Arthropoda; Insecta; Diptera; Drosophilidae. The transcript has 3 exons. The record is from RefSeq and is a predicted model, not a curated record.
UCAAAUUUAUAUGUACUUCAUGUUUUAUUGGAAAUUAUUUGUAACAGCAUACAGUAUAUGUGGGAUUCGACUAACUAAAGGCUAGUCUUCAUUUUCCUGGUGUGCGAAUGGAAUAAAAAGUAAUUAUGAAAAGUAUAGCGGCAUGCCAAGCAACAUGAUUUGUAUCUUCCGCAAAAACACAACUGAAUCGAGUCAAGUUCGAAUGGGAGCCAUGAAUUAAGACCCCAACCAGCCAAAUGCCAACCGACUUGAGGCCAAAACGCGAAGGCGAAGAGAAGAAGAUGAUGUUGGCCCGAAUGGAGCCAAGCGAGAAAAUGGAGCUGCAGUUGGCCCCCGUCAACUUGGCUCAGAUUGCUUGGCCCAAGGGCGCUAAGUUGCUGCUGUUCUAUUGGUUAAAAUCAAUCUUUUCUGGUGCCAGUCGGCUGCCUGUGGGGAUCUGUGCGGAUCUUGCCGAUGAUGAUCCGAAUUUAGCUGGAAGACUAUCUGCAGUUUUCUUAGCCAUGUGCAUGGGAUACUGUGAUAAUGGACUUGGCAAAAGCCGAACGCAAUCCAAAAUAAACUGAGCACCCGCAUGGCGCAUUUCUAAACUGAAAUAAAAUCUCAUUUACCUGCUUCAUAGGGUCACAUUUUCUUCAAUUCGGUUACCUAUAUGUAUGUGCACUGUAAAAG